AGGGUUUGAUCAUGGCUCAGAACGAACGCUGGUGGCGUGCUUAACACAUGCAAGUCGAACGAGAAAGUUUCCUUCGGGAAAUUAGUAAAGUGGCGCAAGGGUGAGUAUCACGUGAAUAAUCUGCCCUCGAGAUCGGGAUAACAUGGUGAAAACUAUGCUAAUACCGGAUAAGACCACAUUUCAUAAGAAAUGCGGUAAAAGGAGUCUCAAUCUUCACUCGAGGAUGAGUUCGCGCAACAUUAGCUUGUUGGUGAGAUAAAAGCUCACCAAGGCUACGAUGUUUAGCCGGCCUGAGAGGGUGAUCGGCCACACUGGAACUGAGACACGGUCCAGACUCCUACGGGAGGCAGCAGUGGGGAAUAUUGCGCAAUGGGCGAAAGCCUGACGCAGCAACGCCGUGUGAGCGAUGAAGGCUUUAGGGUCGUAAAGCUCUGUCAAAUGGGAAGAAUUUUGACGGUACCAUUAGAGGAAGCCCCGGCUAACUCCGUGCCAGCAGCCGCGGUAAUACGGAGGGGGCAAGCGUUGUUCGGAAUUAUUGGGCGUAAAGCGUAUGUAGGCGGUUAAACAAGUCAGGCGUGCAAGCCCGUGGCUCAACCACGGAAUUGCGUUUGAAACUGUUUAACUUGAGUACAGGAGAGGAAAGCGGAAUUCCCAGUGUAGCGGUGAAAUGCAUUGAUAUUGG
Molecule: ribosomal RNA, 682 nt
Filed under: uncultured bacterium
Lineage: Bacteria
Description: bacterial SSU rRNA
Rfam family: Bacterial small subunit ribosomal RNA
Source: RNAcentral